RNAcentral lists this ribosomal RNA (2934 nucleotides) under Bacillus velezensis. Its description in RNAcentral is "bacterial LSU rRNA". It matches the Rfam family "Bacterial large subunit ribosomal RNA". Lineage: Bacteria; Bacillati; Bacillota; Bacilli; Caryophanales; Bacillaceae. The record is from RNAcentral.
CGGUUAAGUUAGAAAGGGCGCACGGUGGAUGCCUUGGCACUAGGAGCCGAUGAAGGACGGGACGAACACCGAUAUGCUUCGGGGAGCUGUAAGCAAGCUUUGAUCCGGAGAUUUCCGAAUGGGGAAACCCACCACUCGUAAUGGAGUGGUAUCCAUAUCUGAAUACAUAGGAUAUGAGAAGGCAGACCCGGGGAACUGAAACAUCUAAGUACCCGGAGGAAGAGAAAGCAAAUGCGAUUCCCUGAGUAGCGGCGAGCGAAACGGGACCAGCCCAAACCAAGAGGCUUGCCUCUUGGGGUUGUAGGACACUCUGUACGGAGUUACAAAGGAACGAGGUAGAUGAAGAGGUCUGGAAAGGCCCGCCAUAGGAGGUAACAGCCCUGUAGUCAAAACUUCGUUCUCUCCUGAGUGGAUCCUGAGUACGGCGGAACACGUGAAAUUCCGUCGGAAUCCGGGAGGACCAUCUCCCAAGGCUAAAUACUCCCUAGUGACCGAUAGUGAACCAGUACCGUGAGGGAAAGGUGAAAAGCACCCCGGAAGGGGAGUGAAAGAGAUCCUGAAACCGUGUGCCUACAAGUAGUCAGAGCCCGUUAACGGGUGAUGGCGUGCCUUUUGUAGAAUGAACCGGCGAGUUACGAUCCCGUGCAAGGUUAAGCAGAAGAUGCGGAGCCGCAGCGAAAGCGAGUCUGAAUAGGGCGAAUUGAGUACGUGGUCGUAGACCCGAAACCAGGUGAUCUACCCAUGUCCAGGGUGAAGUUCAGGUAACACUGAAUGGAGGCCCGAACCCACGCACGUUGAAAAGUGCGGGGAUGAGGUGUGGGUAGGGGUGAAAUGCCAAUCGAACCUGGAGAUAGCUGGUUCUCUCCGAAAUAGCUUUAGGGCUAGCCUCAAGGUAAGAGUCUCGGAGGUAGAGCACUGAUUGGACUAGGGGCCCCUACCGGGUUACCGAAUUCAGUCAAACUCCGAAUGCCGAUGACUUAUCCUUGGGAGUCAGACUGCGAGUGAUAAGAUCCGUAGUCGAAAGGGAAACAGCCCAGACCGCCAGCUAAGGUCCCAAAGUAUACGUUAAGUGGAAAAGGAUGUGGAGUUGCUUAGACAACCAGGAUGUUGGCUUAGAAGCAGCCACCAUUUAAAGAGUGCGUAAUAGCUCACUGGUCGAGUGACUCUGCGCCGAAAAUGUACCGGGGCUAAACGUAUCACCGAAGCUGCGGACUGUUCUUCGAACAGUGGUAGGAGAGCGUUCUAAGGGCUGUGAAGCAAGACCGGAAGGACUUGUGGAGCGCUUAGAAGUGAGAAUGCCGGUAUGAGUAGCGAAAGAGGGGUGAGAAUCCCCUCCACCGAAUGCCUAAGGUUUCCUGAGGAAGGCUCGUCCGCUCAGGGUUAGUCGGGACCUAAGCCGAGGCCGAAAGGCGUAGGCGAUGGAUAACAGGUUGAUAUUCCUGUACCACCUCCUCACCAUUUGAGCAAUGGGGGGACGCAGGAGGAUAGGGUAAGCGCGGUAUUGGAUAUCCGCGUCCAAGCAGUUAGGCUGGGAAAUAGGCAAAUCCGUUUCCCGUGAAGGCUGAGCUGUGAUGGCGAGCGAAUUAUAGUAGCGAAGUUCCUGAUUCCACUCUGCCAAGAAAAGCCUCUAGCGAGGUGAGAGGUGCCCGUACCGCAAACCGACACAGGUAGGCGAGGAGAGAAUCCUAAGGUGAUCGAGAGAACUCUCGUUAAGGAACUCGGCAAAAUGACCCCGUAACUUCGGGAGAAGGGGUGCUCUGUUAGGGUGCAAGCCCGAGAGAGCCGCAGUGAAUAGGCCCAGGCGACUGUUUAGCAAAAACACAGGUCUCUGCGAAGCCGUAAGGCGAAGUAUAGGGGCUGACGCCUGCCCGGUGCUGGAAGGUUAAGAGGAGCGCUUAGCGUAAGCGAAGGUGCGAAUUGAAGCCCCAGUAAACGGCGGCCGUAACUAUAACGGUCCUAAGGUAGCGAAAUUCCUUGUCGGGUAAGUUCCGACCCGCACGAAAGGCGCAACGAUCUGGGCACUGUCUCAACGAGAGACUCGGUGAAAUUAUAGUACCUGUGAAGAUGCAGGUUACCCGCGACAGGACGGAAAGACCCCGUGGAGCUUUACUGCAGCCUGAUAUUGAAUGUUGGUACAGCUUGUACAGGAUAGGUAGGAGCCUUGGAAACCGGAGCGCCAGCUUCGGUGGAGGCAUCGGUGGGAUACUACCCUGGCUGUAUUGACCUUCUAACCCGCCGCCCUUAUCGGGCGGGGAGACAGUGUCAGGUGGGCAGUUUGACUGGGGCGGUCGCCUCCUAAAAGGUAACGGAGGCGCCCAAAGGUUCCCUCAGAAUGGUUGGAAAUCAUUCGCAGAGUGUAAAGGCACAAGGGAGCUUGACUGCGAGACCUACAAGUCGAGCAGGGACGAAAGUCGGGCUUAGUGAUCCGGUGGUUCCGCAUGGAAGGGCCAUCGCUCAACGGAUAAAAGCUACCCCGGGGAUAACAGGCUUAUCUCCCCCAAGAGUCCACAUCGACGGGGAGGUUUGGCACCUCGAUGUCGGCUCAUCGCAUCCUGGGGCUGUAGUCGGUCCCAAGGGUUGGGCUGUUCGCCCAUUAAAGCGGUACGCGAGCUGGGUUCAGAACGUCGUGAGACAGUUCGGUCCCUAUCCGUCGCGGGCGCAGGAAAUUUGAGAGGAGCUGUCCUUAGUACGAGAGGACCGGGAUGGACGCACCGCUGGUGUACCAGUUGUUCUGCCAAGGGCAUCGCUGGGUAGCUAUGUGCGGACGGGAUAAGUGCUGAAAGCAUCUAAGCAUGAAGCCCCCCUCAAGAUGAGAUUUCCCAUUCCGCAAGGAAGUAAGAUCCCUGAAAGAUGAUCAGGUUGAUAGGUCUGAGGUGGAAGUGUGGCGACACAUGGAGCUGACAGAUACUAAUCGAUCGAGGACUUAACCAAUUU